ACAUCUAGAUUCGGAUCCGCGGCCGCAGAGUUUGAUCAUGGCUCAGAACGAACGCUGGCGGCAGGCCUAACACAUGCAAGUCGAGCGAGGACUUCGGUCCUAGCGGCGGACGGGUGAGUAACGCGUGGGAAUAUGCCCUUUUCUACGGAAUAGCCUCGGGAAACUGGGAGUAAUACCGUAUACGCCCUACGGGGGAAAGAUUUAUCGGAGAAGGAUUAGCCCGCGUUGGAUUAGGUAGUUGGUGGGGUAAUGGCCUACCAAGCCGACGAUCCAUAGCUGGUUUGAGAGGAUGAUCAGCCACACUGGGACUGAGACACGGCCCAGACUCCUACGGGAGGCAGCAGUGGGGAAUCUUAGACAAUGGGGGAAACCCUGAUCUAGCCAUGCCGCGUGAGCGAUGAAGGCCUUAGGGUUGUAAAGCUCUUUCAGCUGGGAAGAUAAUGACGGUACCAGCAGAAGAAGCCCCGGCUAACUCCGUGCCAGCAGCCGCGGUAAUACGGAGGGGGCUAGCGUUGUUCGGAAUUACUGGGCGUAAAGCGCACGUAGGCGGAUCGGAAAGUU
RNAcentral lists this ribosomal RNA (561 nucleotides) under uncultured Paracoccus sp. RNAcentral's name for it is "bacterial SSU rRNA". It matches the Rfam family "Bacterial small subunit ribosomal RNA", at positions 1 to 589 of the family's 1533-position model. Lineage: Bacteria; Pseudomonadati; Pseudomonadota; Alphaproteobacteria; Rhodobacterales; Paracoccaceae. The record is from RNAcentral.